This 253-nucleotide ribosomal RNA is filed under the name uncultured bacterium. RNAcentral describes it as "partial 16S ribosomal RNA". It matches the Rfam family "Bacterial small subunit ribosomal RNA", at positions 524 to 776 of the family's 1533-position model. The record is from RNAcentral.
GACGUAGGGGGCCAGCGUUGCUCGGAAUUACUGGGUGUAAAGGGUUCGUAGGCGGUGCGGCAAGUUGGGAGUGAAAUCUCUGGGCUUAACCCAGAGGCUGCUUCCAAAACUGCUGUGCUUGAGUGUGGGAGAGGCGCGUGGAAUUGCAGGUGUAGCGGUGAAAUGCGUAGAUAUCUGCAGGAACACCCGUGGCGAAAGCGGCGCGCUGGACCACUACUGACGCUGAGGAACGAAAGCUAGGGGAGCAAACAGG